ACUCUUCAACCCUCCAGUUCCUUGUUGAACUGUGAGGUGCUUGGAUUCUGAGCGUUGCUGGCCCUAGCGAAUUUCGGUUCGCAAAGGGCGGAGCUCGUUCGUAAUACAUUAGCAACUCAAUUUCGAAUAUUCGGAUUGACUCGGCGUAAUAGACUAUUCGCUGAGGACACUGGCGCAAGCUGGUGGCCGAAUUUCGAGGUAGAUGCUCCUAACUCUUCAAAGUCAAACUUUUAAG
This 235-nucleotide unclassified non-coding RNA is filed under the name uncultured Sporobolomyces. Its description in RNAcentral is "sequence contains ITS2". The record is from RNAcentral. Lineage: Eukaryota; Fungi; Basidiomycota.